GACAGAUGGAUUCAUCCUCUAGACCAUUCUUGGAAGGGGAGAGGGAUGACGCAAUGUCCCUUGGGAAGCCCCCGUCCCCAGCUCCCAUGUGGAAGACAUCAGCAUCCACAGAUGCAGCACAGAAUUGCUGGAGCCAGGACCAGCAGCUGGGAUGCAGAUAUGUAGGGGGAUUGCCGGGGCCUGGGAAACAGGACCGCCCUUGUGCCUUCCUCAGCUUCCCUCAUCACAAUGCAAACCUCCCUACCCACAUUGCUUCUUCAGGACACUGACAGAGGAUGCAGGAGGAGGAAACGUCACUUACCCUCUGGUAAUACACAUGGGCCAGGACUCCCGCCACCAGCUCAACCAGGAAGAUGACGAGCAACAGGCAGAAAUACUAGCAGCAAAGAGAGAGGACGGUCACCACUGGGAUCGGGUUGCUGCUAUGACAAAUGUUUCCCCACAGUGGUGGGGGUGGUAGAGAUACCUGCUGGGACCCCUAUCAUCCAUGCCAUCUUCCUCCUGGAUGUACCAGCCUCACUGGCUGCUGGCACCAAGUUCCCCACUUACUCCUUCCCUCUUUGGUCUGCUGACAAUUCAGUACGGCAUGUACCCAUCCAAUAUGUAUUAAAUACAUGCCAUAUGCCAGA
Molecule: long non-coding RNA, 629 nt
Filed under: Homo sapiens (human)
Lineage: Eukaryota; Metazoa; Chordata; Mammalia; Primates; Hominidae
Description: TSPAN11 antisense RNA 1
Source: RNAcentral